Camellia sinensis is the source of this 1026-nucleotide non-coding RNA. The record is from RefSeq and is a predicted model, not a curated record. Lineage: Eukaryota; Viridiplantae; Streptophyta; Magnoliopsida; Ericales; Theaceae.
UUUUUUUUUCUAUUUGAUGAGCAUGUGUGUGUGUUGUUUUUUUUUGUUUUCUAGCAAUUAUGGUAGCAUUUCUUUUCAAGAGGCUUUGGAGAUAGAGAGAUGAAGUUCUUUAUGAAUGUGCAAUUUUUUAGAGUUCAUGGAAUUUGAUGUGAGCAUAUGCAUUUUUUUGUAAUGACUGGUUAGUUCUUUUUUGUUUUUGUUAUGAAUGCUAGUGAUCUUGAUGAUAACUGAUUUUGUUGGUUUGGGGUUGGCCUAGACUGCUGCACAUUUUGUUUUGCAUUUGUACAAGUAGGGAAUCCGAUAGAAAGCAUAGGGUAUAUGAUUAAAGUGGAUUUUUUGAUCUCCUCCCAAUCAUGGGUGGCUUUGGUUUACUUGAUCUCGUCAUGGAUUGUUCUCAUUUUUGGUGAUACCUCCCCUCUCUCUCUCUAGCAUUUUUGUAAGCUUUACUCUUCAUGUGUUCUAGCAUUAAUUCAAACAUCAUACAUAGAUUAGUAAUUUGGAUGAAUGUUGAUCUUAUGUAGCUGAUAUUGCCAUUCAAUAUUAAAAAAUCUAGACUUCUAUUGAUGUUCUUAUUUUGUCUUUUAUAGAUUUUGAAUAUAGAAGGGAAAAAAUAAGAAAGGUAAAGAUGAAGAUAGGAAAGAUAAAGAAAAAGCCAAAGAUUUUGACAAAGAUAAAGGAAAACACAAGGAUGAGGAAACACGAAAGUGAGAAUUAAAUUGAAGGAACAAAUUUGGUUGGAAACCAACUAAGACAAUAUUCUUUUCGUUGGCCUUAAGUGCUAUAAAGUGAUGUCCUUGCCAUCAUGCAUAUUGAUUUCAAGAAAGUGAAGAAAUUCAGUCUUGACGGAACAGAGCCAAGGGAAAGUUGAGUCAAUGAGCAAGAAGGAUGGUUUAUGAUGAGAAACUCGGUUCCUUAAUUUCUUUUAAUUUGGAUAGGCUGACUUUUCUUGAGAUUAUACUUUUCAAAUUGUUUAUGUUGUAACCCAACUUAAAGAUCCAUAAAUAAAAUAGAGAAUCAGAUUUGAUA